CGUGAGUAACCUGCCUUGGAGUGGGGAAGUAACACAUCGAAAGAUGUGCUAAUACCGCAUAAUGCAGUUGGGCCGGCAUGGCUCUGACUGCCAAAGAUUUAUCGCUCUGAGAUGGACUCGCGUCUGAUUAGCUGGUUGGCGGGGUAACGGCCCACCAAGGCGACGAUCAGUAGCCGGACUGAGAGGUUGACCGGCCACAUUGGGACUGAGACACGGCCCAGACUCCUACGGAAGGCAGCAG
Molecule: ribosomal RNA, 241 nt
Filed under: uncultured bacterium
Lineage: Bacteria
Description: partial 16S ribosomal RNA
Rfam family: Bacterial small subunit ribosomal RNA
Source: RNAcentral